AUGGAUGAGAGAAGGCAGACGGCGUGGAGCUGUGCUGGGGACAUGGCAGCAUGGAGGUCAUUAAACAGGAUUUCUCAGAAAGACACCCACAUGAUCACCAUGGUGCUCACAGAAGCCUUUGUUGGGAGGAAGUUCACCCAUCCUGGCAAGGGGAGCAGGAGGGAGAGAAGCCCAUGUGAGGUGGAUGCUGUGUGUGCUGCAUGUUCCUUCUCUGAUCAGAUGUUAUCUCCUUUCCUGUUGGAAAAGUGCAAACAAAGCCAUUAA
Molecule: long non-coding RNA, 264 nt
Filed under: Coturnix japonica (Japanese quail)
Lineage: Eukaryota; Metazoa; Chordata; Aves; Galliformes; Phasianidae
Description: lncRNA (ENSCJPG00005011362.1)
Source: RNAcentral